This 229-nucleotide ribosomal RNA is filed under the name uncultured bacterium. RNAcentral's name for it is "partial 16S ribosomal RNA". It matches the Rfam family "Bacterial small subunit ribosomal RNA", at positions 568 to 796 of the family's 1533-position model. The record is from RNAcentral.
UCCGUAGGCGGGCAAUUAAGUCAGAGGUGAAAUCCCACAGCUCAACUGUGGAACUGCCUUUGAUACUGGUUGUCUUGAGUUACAGUGAAGUAGAUAGAAUAUGUAGUGUAGCGGUGAAAUGCAUAGAUAUUACAUAGAAUACCGAUUGCGAAGGCAGUCUACUAACUGUAUACUGACGCUAAUGGACGAAAGCGUGGGGAGCGAACAGGAUUAGAUACCCUGGAAGUCC